Molecule: ribosomal RNA, 421 nt
Filed under: uncultured bacterium
Lineage: Bacteria
Description: partial 16S ribosomal RNA
Rfam family: Bacterial small subunit ribosomal RNA
Source: RNAcentral
AAUCCUCCACAAUGGACGGAAGUCUGAUGGAGCAACGCCGCGUGAGCGAAGAAGGUUUUCGGAUCGUAAAGCUCUGUUGUAAGGGAAGCAUACGUCAAGGAGUCACUCUCUGUACCUUGACGGUACCUUACCAGAAAGCGACGGCUAACUACGUGCCAGCAGCCGCGGUAAUACGUAGGUGGCAAGCGUUGUCCGGAAUUCUUGGGCGUAAAGCGCGCGCAGGCGGUCCUUUAAGUCUGAUGUGAAAGCCCACGGCUCAACCGUGGAGGGUCAUUGGAAACUGGAGGACUUGAGUACAGAAGAGGAAAGCGGAAUUCCACGUGUAGCGGUGAAAUGCGUAGAGAUGUGGAGGAACACCAGUGGCGAAGGCGGCUUUCUGGUCUGUAACUGACGCUGAGGCGCGAAAGCGUGGGGAGCAAAC